GCUGGCGCGUGCCUAUACAUGCAAGUCGAGCGAACAGACGAGGAGCUUGCUCCUCUGACGUUAGCGGCGGACGGGUGAGUAACACGUGGAUAACCUACCUAUAAGACUGGGAUAACUUCGGGAAACCGGAGCUAAUACCGGAUAAUAUAUUGAACCGCAUGGUUCAAUAGUGAAAGACGGUUUUGCUGUCACUUAUAGAUGGAUCCGCGCCGCAUUAGCUAGUUGGUAAGGUAACGGCUUACCAAGGCAACGAUGCGUAGCCGACCUGAGAGGGUGAUCGGCCACACUGGAACUGAGACACGGUCCAGACUCCUACGGGAGGCAGCAGUAGGGAAUCUUCCGCAAUGGGCGAAAGCCUGACGGAGCAACGCCGCGUGAGUGAUGAAGGUCUUCGGAUCGUAAAACUCUGUUAUUAGGGAAGAACAAAUGUGUAAGUAACUAUGCACGUCUUGACGGUACCUAAUCAGAAAGCCACGGCUAACUACGUGCCAGCAGCCGCGGUAAUACGUAGGUGGCAAGCGUUAUCCGGAAUUAUUGGGCGUAAAGCGCGCGUAGGCGGUUUUUUAAGUCUGAUGUGAAAGCCCACGGCUCAACCGUGGAGGGUCAUUGGAAACUGGAAAACUUGAGUGCAGAAGAGGAAAGUGGAAUUCCAUGUGUAGCGGUGAAAUGCGCAGAGAUAUGGAGGAACACCAGUGGCGAAGGCGACUUUCUGGUCUGUAACUGACGCUGAUGUGCGAAAGCGUGGGGAUCAAACAGGAUUAGAUACCCUGGUAGUCCACGCCGUAAACGAUGAGUGCUAAGUGUUAGGGGGUUUCCGCCCCUUAGUGCUGCAGCUAACGCAUUAAGCACUCCGCCUGGGGAGUACGACCGCAAGGUUGAAACUCAAAGGAAUUGACGGGACCCGCACAAAUCGUUGCCUUGGUAAG
RNAcentral lists this ribosomal RNA (926 nucleotides) under Staphylococcus epidermidis. Its description in RNAcentral is "bacterial SSU rRNA". It matches the Rfam family "Bacterial small subunit ribosomal RNA", at positions 35 to 945 of the family's 1533-position model. Lineage: Bacteria; Bacillati; Bacillota; Bacilli; Caryophanales; Staphylococcaceae. The record is from RNAcentral.